This 185-nucleotide ribosomal RNA is filed under the name uncultured bacterium. Its description in RNAcentral is "partial 16S ribosomal RNA". It matches the Rfam family "Bacterial small subunit ribosomal RNA", at positions 1316 to 1500 of the family's 1533-position model. The record is from RNAcentral.
CUACAUGAAGCCGGAAUCGCUAGUAAUCGCGGAUCAGAAUGCCGCGGUGAAUACGUUCCCGGGUCUUGUACACACCGCCCGUCACACCAUGGGAGUCGGGAAUGCCCGAAGUCAGUGACCCAACCCAAGGGAGGGAGCUGCCGAAGGCAGGCCUGGUGACUGGGGUGAAGUCGUAACAAGGUAUC